RNAcentral lists this ribosomal RNA (404 nucleotides) under uncultured bacterium. RNAcentral's name for it is "bacterial SSU rRNA". It matches the Rfam family "Bacterial small subunit ribosomal RNA", at positions 355 to 776 of the family's 1533-position model. The record is from RNAcentral.
UGGGGAAUAUUAGGCAAUGGGGGAAACCCUGACCUAGCGAUGCCGCGUGAGGGAAGAAGGUCUUCGGAUUGUAAACCUCUGUCUUCGGGGACGAUAAUGACGGUACCCGAGGAGGAAGCCCCGGCUAACUACGUGCCAGCAGCCGCGGUAAUACGUAGGGGGCAAGCGUUAUCCGGAUUUAUUGGGUGUAAAGGGUGCGUAGGCGGGUGAUCAAGUUGAAUGUGAAAUCCACCGGCUCAACUGGUGGGCUGCGUUCAAAACUGGUCAUCUUGAGUAUGGUAGAGGCAAGCGGAAUUCCCAGUGUAGCGGUAAAAUGCGUAGAGAUUGGGAGGAACACCAGUGGCGAAGGCGGCUUGCUGGGCCAAAACUGACGCUGAUGCACGAAAGUGUGGGGAGCAAACAGG